Molecule: long non-coding RNA, 3726 nt
Organism: Hylaeus anthracinus
Lineage: Eukaryota; Metazoa; Arthropoda; Insecta; Hymenoptera; Colletidae
Exons: 4
Source: RefSeq, a predicted model, not a curated record
AUAUCUUCUCUUCAAAUUAUUCUUUUUAUAUCUUCACUUCAAAUUAUUCUUUUUCUUCGCAUCCACUUUGCCUGUACUUUUGCUUGUGCUCUUCUUGCUUUUCAUUUUUCCCAAUAUACUUCAGUCUUCAUCUCCAUUCUAAACUUUUCCUUUUGAACCUUAAUUACACAUCACGUUUAUUUAUCUGUAUAUCUUCUCCUCAAAUUAUUCUUUUUACACUUCUGAGAAAAUACUCCUUUAUUACCGAGUACAGAAGUUGUCGCCACGGAAUUAGAGACCCCCGCAGUCCACUUUAAUCCACGGUAUCGGUCGAACAUGCGAGAUACGUGACGAGGUCAUCGGCUAAUGGGUGGCGAGCAUAAAAAUUAAAAUAGCAAAUUGGCGACACCGGGUUUUGCAUACGCGCAGCGCGCGAACAGCGUGCGCGUGUUCAUACAAAACCGCCGGUUAAUUAAAGUAAUCGAGAUAAUCCGAACAGCCGCGCAAUUAGCGGCCGCGUCCGUCGCGAUAAUGCGAUCUUGGAUGCCGACCUCGAACCCGUUUCAACCAGAGUUAGGCGUGUUUCUCUAACGACAUAGGGGAUGCGUCAAAACUUCGCUCUUGAAUAGUAAUAUUUUAAACAUUUAUUCCUUUUAAACUUUCGCAAAGAUUGCUGGAUUAUCUCGUCUCGAAGUUCUACAAUUUUUGUACACGCGAACACCGUUUGUAUUGGCCAUUACGAGCCACAUUGCAGAAUAAUUUGCAUAAUCGCGUUUCAACGCGCAGGGGGAGGCCCGCGGGUUUUCAUGUUGAAAUGUGUAUCGAGGAUGUUAAUCAGUGUGUAAAACAAAUGUUAUACUUUCGUUUGCGUUUCGUCCGGGAAACAGGUGUUAUAAAAAAUAUACCGUAGCUUCCUCAGCGUUUAAUCGAAGCGAAGGGAAAGGUGCACCGAAAGCAUCUCAUUACUCGAAGCAUUUACAUUGAUGCAAAUUUUGCUCACCUCUGACUCAUUACACGAUAUAUUCUCAUCACUUUUUUCGUGCGGAAUGAGCCCUGCAGAGGUAUAAAUAAUCCUCAGUCUUCAAUUUAUCCAUCUAGACAAGAAUUGUCCUCAUCUCUGUCUUACGUUACAUUUCCAUUAACUCGUGAAGUACGAGUGCAGUCUCUGCGAGGAAAAAUAAAAUUCGAGAUGGAGAUAUAAGUAAUUUUCAAUGUUCAAAUCGAGGAAUAAUUACAAGGCGCAGUAGUCGCCCCGAGAAAACUUUCGAAGGGAGACUUUCCUUCGUCAGGCUUCGUUAUGGAAACGCUGGCACGAUAAAUUACUGAUUAAUCAGUAUUUAAUUACGGAACACGUGUGUUAACGCGAUGUUGGACGAAGGGCACCGGAGGAGUGUCCAGUCACGCUAUGGAAAUUAUGACGUAUUACACGAUUGCCUUUUCAACGUCGCACGCGGCUUGCCCGUGCCGUGACUAAUAAGCAGAUGUAAUGCAAUUUAACACGCAUCGUGUUAACGCUUGUUCGAGCUUCAACGCUCUCGAGACGGAACCAUUCAAACACCCGAGCGAUUUCCUUCGGUCUUUGGACACGCAGGGUCCUUCGAAUCUCGGGAAUCGGCUUCCUGAAUUUUAUUGCGAUUAUACAGCGAGUAACGGAAGUAUUCGAACUGGUAUAUCUACAGAUUAUAGCACGUUAAAUAUACUAGACCGAAAAGUAAUCAAAAUUUUAGCAACAUUUAUUUAUUGAAGAAAUCUUAAGUAGUAAUUAACGAAAUAAUUUCUAUCACUUCUUCAGACUUCUUGCCAACGUAAAGGUAGUUGUUCUCUGUUCAAAAAAGUCUCCGGAUUUUUUAUUGGGACGCGAUCAAUACACCUUCAGAGUAACAAUAAACGAAAUAAGUAUUUAACAACCUCUGACGAUGAUGACGAACAUUUAUUACACAAGAAAAAUCGGCCCAUUUAGUUUGAAUUUGGCUAGAAGUGAAUACGACAUUUUUUCGCCGAAAUACGACAGUUCAAAAUUUUCUGAUCGAUCUAUUAGUUCGAAUGAACGACCGUCUCCAGCGACCGACAAUUUUAUGUUUCCUCGAAAAUAUCCAAAAUCGUUUUACCAUAAUUAACGGAAUCGUUAGCCCUUAACGAAUUCUCAUUUUCGCGAUCAUUCCGUACGAUUUCUGCUCGCGAAUCGUUAACGGAGCAAACCUGCGUUUCUGGCAAGCAUAAGAUCUCUCCGGAACCCGUGGCGGCGUGUUUUACGAGCAUUGCCGGGGUAAACGACACGUGGAUCAUCGUCGUCGUCCCACCUGCUCGCCGCUCGUAUAUUUCCGCAGUAAACUCGUCGCGAGGCGCUGGAAACCUAACGCCGUCGUUUCGUCGGGGACAAGAUAGCCGCGGAUGGACGAAUCGAUAUCUCUUUAUCUCGUGUAAAAGACUGGAUAUGUCGCACCUUUCGUUCGCGAGCCUAAUGACGCCUGACAUGAACCACCCCUGACCAAUUAACUCCGCGAUACAAGAAUUUCGAUAGUUUCGGGGACCUCGUGACAAAAUGAGGACGAUGAAUCACGUUUGGAACGAGCCCUCGAGUCGCGAGGAUUUACGCGACACCUGGAGAAAUUUGAUUGGAAACGAUAUUAAAGGGUGAUCGUUCCAGUCUUUUAUUUCGACGAUUGGAAUAAUCGAGAUAGAGGAGAGUCAGGGAUGGGUGGUUGACGAUUUCUUUGGAAGCUGAACGACAUCUUGUAUUAAACGAAGUCUACGGAAGGGAUUAACUUCUCGAAGGGAUCGCGUCACGCGGCUGUUUAUUUACAAAUCUUAUAUUGGACUAGCUUUCAUCCGGUUCUGAAGUGCCAUGGAAAUAAAGCUUAAUUCGUUGUUUGCUUCGCGACGAGUUUGGCGUCGGCACACGUGCCGUGUCAUGUGACGAGCGAGCGCGACGCGGUGUCAUACGCAAGCACUCAAACGACAAAGGAAAAUUUAAAUUCGAACACCAGCCACGUGAACUCCUUCUCAGUCGAAAUCCUUUUAUAUCGUAUUUAACGCAAAUAUAUCGAGAAACGUCGAAUAGACUGCUGAGGCAUCCUCGAAGUUCGUCGACUUCGGAGAUAUUUAUGAAGAAUGAAUAGGAAGUAAGAAUCGCAGAAUAGUAUGAAAUUUAUCUAUAGGUAUAUAAUUUCAUGAAAGUCUGAUAUGGAAAUGUUUUUCAGAACCUCAAAUGACUCGGACCAUUUUUUAAAUUAUUGUGUAUAAAGAGUGACUAAUAACUUUUUGUAAAUUUUAUUUAAUGAAAACGAAUUAAAGGGAUGUAUCUGUUGAAUUAUGUAGGAAGUAAUAACAUUAAGGUUCAAUUUCUGUUUUUGUAAAGGUUGAACGUGAAACGUGGCAUUUUUAUUUAACAAUGUUUUAUAAUACAUAAUGCAUGUAUAUUUUAAUAUAUUUAUUAGAUAUAAUUCUCUCUUGUUCACAUAUAUUUUUCCAUAAGAAAAAGUACAUGUAAAUUAAAUGUACUGUAGGAAAGAAGAGGAACCAGUCCUGAAAGGAGAAACGGAUCGUCCUGGUCAGACAUUUUGUGUCAGUCUUUCCUAAUCGACACCGUCCACAUUUUCUUUACUCCUUUACUUUAUGAUUUAAGAUUUUAUUUUUUAAUAUUAAAAUACAUACAGUCAACAUAUGUAUACGAUAUUUCGUUUAUGACAAGUUUCACAGAUAUUGAGAUUUCUAAUUGAAAAAUUACUUUUAUCGAAAUAAAAUAUA